AGAGUUUGAUCAUGGCUCAGGACGAACGCUGGCGGCGUGCCUAAUACAUGCAAGUCGAGCGAGCUUGCCUAGAUGAUUUUGGUGCUUGCACUAAAUGAAACUAGAUACAAGCGAGCGGCGGACGGGUGAGUAACACGUGGGUAACCUGCCCAAGAGACUGGGAUAACACCUGGAAACAGAUGCUAAUACCGGAUAACAACACUAGACGCAUGUCUAGAGUUUGAAAGAUGGUUCUGCUAUCACUCUUGGAUGGACCUGCGGUGCAUUAGCUGGUUGGUAAGGUAACGGCUUACCAAGGCAAUGAUGCAUAGCCGAGUUGAGAGACUGAUCGGCCACAUUGGGACUGAGACACGGCCCAAACUCCUACGGGAGGCAGCAGUAGGGAAUCUUCCACAAUGGACGAAAGUCUAAUGGAGCAACGCCGCGUGAGUGAAGAAGGGUUUCGGCUCGUAAAGCUCUGUUGGUAGUGAAGAAAGAUAGAGGUAGUAACUGGCCUUUAUUUGACGGUAAUUACUUAGAAAGUCACGGCUAACUACGUGCCAGCAGCCGCGGUAAUACGUAGGUGGCAAGCGUUGUCCGGAUUUAUUGGGCGUAAAGCGAGUGCAGGCGGUUCAAUAAGUCUGAUGUGAAAGCCUUCGGCUCAACCGGAGAAUUGCAUCAGAAACUGUUGAACUUGAGUGCAGAAGGGGAGAGUGGAACUCCAUGUGUAGCGGUGGAAUGCGUAGAUAUAUGGAAGAACACCAGUGGCGAAGGCGGCUCUCUGGUCUGCAACUGACGCUGAGGCUCGAAAGCAUGGGUAGCGAACAGGAUUAGAUACCCUGGUAGUCCAUGCCGUAAACGAUGAGUGCUAAGUGUUGGGAGGUUUCCGCCUCUCAGUGCUGCAGCU
This 886-nucleotide ribosomal RNA is filed under the name uncultured bacterium. RNAcentral describes it as "bacterial SSU rRNA". It matches the Rfam family "Bacterial small subunit ribosomal RNA", at positions 8 to 853 of the family's 1533-position model. The record is from RNAcentral.